This 367-nucleotide ribosomal RNA is filed under the name uncultured bacterium. RNAcentral's name for it is "bacterial SSU rRNA". It matches the Rfam family "Bacterial small subunit ribosomal RNA", at positions 107 to 507 of the family's 1533-position model. The record is from RNAcentral.
UGAGUAACGCGUGGGAACCGUACCCUGGGGUGGGGAAUAACCUUGGGAAACUUGAAGUAAUACCGUAUACGCCCGAGAGGGGGAAAGAUUUAUCGCUAUAGGAUGGGCCCGCGUCGGAUUAGCUAGUUGGUGAGGUAAUGGCUCACCAAGGCGACGAUCCGUAGCUGGUUUGAGAGAACGACCAGCCACACUGGGACUGAGACACGGCCCAGACUCCUACGGGAGGCAGCAGUGGGGAAUAUUGGACAAUGGGCGCAAGCCUGAUCCAGCCAUGCCGCGUGAGUGAUGAAGGCCUUAGGGUUGUAAAGCUCUUUUAGCAGGGAAGAUAAUGACUGUACCUGCAGAAUAAGCUCCGGCUAACUUCGUG